Long non-coding RNA from Anas platyrhynchos (mallard), 4602 nucleotides. RefSeq lists it as uncharacterized. NCBI's taxonomy places the organism in Eukaryota, Metazoa, Chordata, Aves, Anseriformes, Anatidae. The record is from RefSeq and is a predicted model, not a curated record.
GGGCUAUGUGGGGGGUUGGGGUUCAGGGUAUGCAGGGCUGGGGGGGGUCAUUGGGGUUUGGGGAUGGCAAUGGGGGCUGGGGGAAAGAUGAGGGAUUAUGUUGAGGCUGGAGGGUCAGAGAAUGGGGGGCUGGAAGGGGUGGGGGCUCAGGCAGCUUCUCCCUGAGCCCUGUGUGUUGCAGGAUCCGUGCUGGGGGGCAGCUCCUGAGGAGCCACAGCCCCGAGUCGUGACCGAAGGUCUCUGAGUCUGCGUGGGACUGCCCGUGUCCCUCAGGUGUUCCUGCUCACCACAGAGGCUGCUGGGGCUGCGCCCUGUCCCAGGCCGAGGUGGCUGAACUGAAGGUCUCUGUGUGACGGUGGGAGUGCUGCCCUUGCAGUUCCCUUUGGUUAUAUCCGCGUGGUCUCUUCAGGUUAUAGAAGCAGCCCAGGUUACAUCUGCUUUAUGUAACCCAUCAGCUGCACUCGCCGUGAAGCCCAUGUGAUGCUCAGCCCUGGCCGUCGUGCAUCCUCUUGUGCUCUCAGGCAAUGCACGCGUGCGCCCCGGGAGAGGCAGCUCUGCUCUGCGUUGAGCCCAGCUUCUAGGAUUCUUUUCGUAGGGGGAAUUUCCACUGAAUCUGCAAGAUUCCCAGGCCAAGCCAAGCCUGAGGCUGGUGUGUUGUGAAACCACGCUGGCUGCUGAGCUGACAGGUGGAGCCUCUUCCUGGUGCCGCAGCAGCCACACUGCUCCGUGGCCAAGUAAAGAACUUCUUCAUUGCUAAAUUUUGCCUCUAAGUGUCAUGUUCAGGACAAAUUCCUGAGCAGAGCCAAGCCUGGCCCUGUUCUUGAGCAGUGCUGCCUUUGCUAGAGCAGUGAGAGCUUGAAAAGAGGUGUCAGGAGGAGCGAUGGCCAUCUCAGAAUACUGGAUUGCUGCAGCUUGAGUGUGUGCUCCUCUCUGCUGAGCCGAGGCCGGGUGUCCCUUCAGCACAGCUCUGCUCCCAGUUCGCUUAGCCAGGGGCGGAGGAUGCUAUCGAUCUCUGCUCGCUUCCCGUCUAGCAGAGAGGCUGCAGACGUGGCUUCCCAUCACGCGGCGCAUUAGCCAAAAUUAAUUCCAGGGCGGCGAGGCAGCCAGUGGGUUCUCAAGGCCGAGACAGAUCCGUGCUGCAGCCACGUGAGGAGGGGCAGAGCAGCUCCCCAGACGCUUCUGCUCAGCCGGACCCACGCUCUGUAGGACGUGGAAGAUGCUGGGGCUGGUGACACGGGCGGUUCAGCUAUAAGGGACAUCUGUCUGCACCAUGUGCUCCCAUUCAGGCUGCUGCUGCAGCAAGUGGGGGACAUUUUGAUGCAUCUUGCUGGCUUUCUUUCAUCCCCAGCCACAGGCACGCCUGUGGAGCACAGGAAGGUUCCUCCCCUGUGACAAGGAAAAAGAAAUCAGCGAGCAGAUCGAGCAUGUACAGCAAAUAAUGAGAUCGCCUUGGAUACGGCGGCGGAAUUCAUGCAAAGAAUUGUGCUGAUCAGAGGAGAUAAGCAGCAGUUCCGUGGCCUGCGAGCAGCGUCAUGAGGCUCGUGUUUCUCAAGUGUUUUCUCAGAGAUGCUUGGAUGAAGGCUGCCAGCAGAGGCCCGAUCCAGGGACAGAUUGAGCUGCUUUAGCUAUUACACUUAGGAGCGUGAUUUAAAAAAUAAACCCUGGAAUAGCUGUGCUGGUGGUUAUUUUGGUGGGGAAGUGCCUCGUAAUACGUCGCAUUUUCCUUGAGGCUUGGCAAUAGGCAAUACAGAAGUGAGCUCUUCUGUACCAGCAGAGCAGCACCCACAGAGAAGGCUCGUCCUGAGGGAGCCCCCGUUGGAGGGGCCGAGUACUGGUGCAGUCGGUGAAAGGAGCUAAGUUUGUGGAAUGCUUUAACAACCAGCAAUUGUUUCUUAUUAAUCCCCUGGUAUUAUAAAAGGGAAAAAAAAAUCACAGUAUUUUACAGACAAAUAAAGACAAAGCGUCUAGCUAGCGAACAGCUCAGUAGCUCAUUCAGGGCUUGUUAAAGCAGCUGAGGGUGUUUGUGCUGUCAGACUGAUUUGAAGGAGGGAUAGUAAACGGCUUUGUUUUUAUUUUUAUGGGAAACGUACUCAGCUCUGCGUUAGCAAUGCCUCUUAGUCAACGCUGGUGUUUUUUCUAAGGACUGAAAAGUGUCGUUAAUGACUAGAUGAGUUCCAGGCAGUCCUUUAAGGCACUUCGAGAUUCGACUGGUACCAGGAGCCUCCCUGCGAGGCUAGUACCAGAAGGCUGCUAGGCAGUGGCAGAUGGGCAUGAGUAGCACUUCCAAAGGCACUUUAGGAAAGUAAAGCAUUCCCCAAAGCCCAGUAAAGCCUCCUUUGAUUGCAGUCCCAGCUUCCUGUACCACGUGCAUGGCAGCAGCCUCACCGAUAGUAAAAUACCCCGAAAAAUAUGUUAUCAUCCAAGUGACUUUUCCCUUUAUGCUGAAAAAAAGAGAAGGGGAGGGGGCCGUGUUCCUUGAGGCAGUUUGGUUUUCCUGUGCCACCUCCUGAGGUCUCAGGGACAAAAUCAUUUUGGGAGGGCCCCAAAGAGCGACCCCUCUCUCCCCACGCUCCCCCAAGAAGGCUGUGCUGUGUUACAAGCAUCCUGCAUGUUGGUAACCCGUUUCCUGCGCUGAAACGAGUGUUGGAUUUGAUGCUGUUAGCUCUCCUCAUGAUUUAAUUAUCGCAGUGCCAGCAGCCUCCCAGCUGCCCACCUUGGCUUUAGCACUGCCCUGCUCACAGGUGGGUGAAGCACGCAGGAAGCGCUGCACAGUUACGGGCUUCGCAGGAGAGGCUGUGGGUGCUUUCCACGUGCUCAUCCUGAUUCACGUAUUUUAUGAAUCAGAACUUAGUCCUGUUUGGUAACGCUUGCCUACGUAGCUGUUAAUGUCAUUGGUAUCCGGGCUCUGAUGUCAGCUGCUGGAGCCCAGGCGCUGGCAGCUGGUGUCCCUGGCCAGCUCCCAGCCUGCAAUUCAAUUUCCCCAUCAGUCACUUCGGAAGACAGGAAAAAAACACAUUUCUGUCUGUUUGUGACACCAAAUCACAAAGGGCUCCAGGCUACAAGUUCAUUUAAGGCUCUUCCACGCUGUGACACAUGGGAAAGCUCAGAAAAAUCGAAUAAUGGUAUAGAAGUGACACCCUCAUCUAUACUGCGCUAAACUACUGUAAGCUAAGGCCAGCUUAAUCCUGGAUGAACAUCUCUGCGCAAGAGUUUAAUGUCUUUUAGGUUUCUUACAUUAACAUCAUCUCUCUGAAUACAGAUCAGUCCAGGCACGUUUUGCCCUGUUCCCAGUCUUGUCAAUGGUGGAAAAGUACCACAAAGGGCAAAGGCAGCAGCAUGGGGGAAUAAGGGCAUCCCCCUGGAAGCACAGAGCUCUGCGCUGCCUUCUGACACUGACCCUCUGCGUGAGCUUUUGUGUAGCACUUUGAGCCUGAAUAUUUCUGUCUGCAUGUUGGGAUUAUUAGUAUGUUCCCUGACUUUACAAAGGGCUUGAGGAUCUCCAGAGAUGCAUGUGCAUCAUUUCCCCAGGUUGAGCUUUCAAAAAUACACCCAGAGGAGCACGUUCCCGUAUGUCUGGAGGACCCAACUGGGAUGUCACAGCUGCUUUGGUUCUUAGAGAGAAGGAAUUCAGACCAGCUGAGAGCCAGCCCCACCACCAGGUAUUGCUCCCUAGACUGACAAAGGAAAGAGAGAAUUGUGACACCUAGUUAAGUGCAUAUAACUGUGCCUAAUAAGAAGUGUGUGUAAACCAGAAUCGCAUGCCUGCAGGGCGCAACUCUGUCCUACUAACUGCCUGUCAGCUAUCCUGCUUAUUUUAUCUGGAAACAUUAUCAUUUGGGAGCUUUUUCAUGACUUUAGAUGUUUAGGAAGAGGACAUUUAUUUCAAUUUAGCCAGUGGAACAGAAAAAAUUCCACUGAGUCAGACGGAGCUGAUUUAUUAGGGAACGACUCUGGAAGAUCUUCCUUAUAUCUGAACUCAAAAUCUCAUCCCUUCUUUCACAUUCCUUAAUAUGCUUACUGCUUAGCAGCCACAACCUCAAUGAAUGCAUGCCCUGUCUUGCUGAGAACUCCUAACAACCCCUUCUCCUUCGUACAAAAGCUGUGAAGAUGAGACCUGCUGGACAGUAAGAAGCAAUGUCCGCUCCACUUUUAUUAGGACUCUCUGGGAUGCAAGCGACAGGGAACAGAGCGAGUCCCUGCUGGCUGAAUUCCACGGGCUUCGCACCCAGCUACAGAAAGGCCCAGAGGCAUUUUGAGUCUUUUUGUGUACACAUCAGCCCCGUGCUGCUCCCAGGCAAUUGCAUGUUAACUUAGCUGUUAUUAGUAAUAAGGGAUUGGCUGACGAUGGUUCAAACUAAUUUCCAUGGGAAUAUUGCCUGAAACAGGAUAAAUGACUGGGCUUUGAGUUGUGUAACCAGACUUUGUAACGUGAAGGAAUGAAACCCAGGAAAUUUCACGUGGUGGGGAGUGACUGACCUUGCAUAACCUCCACAAGACCCAUAUUCCCUCCAUUUCUAGCAUGCUGCAUUCCUUAUUUUCUGAAAAUACCAGGUUUGCACUUUCAGCCUGUGUCCUUUGGGAUUAAAUUUUUAUCACCCCUCA